This 220-nucleotide long non-coding RNA is filed under the name Gossypium barbadense (sea-island cotton). Its description in RNAcentral is "long non-coding RNA (GBAR_LNC006369)". The record is from RNAcentral. Lineage: Eukaryota; Viridiplantae; Streptophyta; Magnoliopsida; Malvales; Malvaceae.
ACUGUAAAUUUUCCACUUUUAAAGGUAUUUCAGUAAUUUAUCUAUUUUAGGGUUUUUCAUGCAUAUUCCUACCUUUCACGUACUAACAGAAUCACGUACCGAGGGUUCUUACCGAAUUGGGCCCGUUGGCCCAUCAUUCCAAUUUUGGCCUAUUAAGCCCAAAAAUAUCGAGGGCAGAGAAAUCAUGCACUUUGCAGUCCAAAUUUUGCAGCUUACCAAA